Molecule: ribosomal RNA, 440 nt
Filed under: uncultured bacterium
Lineage: Bacteria
Description: partial 16S ribosomal RNA
Rfam family: Bacterial small subunit ribosomal RNA
Source: RNAcentral
CCUACGGGGUGCAGCAGUGGGGGAUAUUGCACAAUGGGGGAAACCCUGAUGCAGCGACGCCGCGUGUGGGAAGACGGUCCUCUGGAUUGUAAACCACUGUCCCCAGGGACGAAGAUGCCGGUACCUGGUGAGGAAGCUCCGGCUAACUACGUGCCAGCAGCCGCGGUAAUACGUAGGGAGCGAGCGUUGUCCGGAAUUACUGGGUGUAAAGGGAGUGUAGGCGGGACUGCAAGUUGGGUGUCAAAUCUACCGGCUCAACCGGUAGCCGCACUCAAAACUGCAGUUCUGGAGUGAAGUAGAGGCAGGCGGAAUUCCUAGUGUAGCGGUGAAAUGCGUAGAUAUUAGGAGGAACACCAGUGGCGAAGGCGGCCUGCUGGGCUGUUACUGACGCUGAGGCUCGAAAGUGUGGGGAGCAAACAGGAUUAGAUACCCGGGUAGUC